Non-coding RNA from Photobacterium aquae, 116 nucleotides. The record is from Rfam. NCBI's taxonomy places the organism in Bacteria, Pseudomonadati, Pseudomonadota, Gammaproteobacteria, Vibrionales, Vibrionaceae.
GCAUCAGCCUAGUUACCACAACCACCAUUAUUACCGGCACGAUUGCUGGGGUGGGCUGAUGCGCGUAAGAAUUGCAGAAAAGAGCCCACACCCAAUCCGGUGUGGGUUUUUUUUUG